GUCUACGGCCACACCACCCUGAGCACACCUGAUCUUGUCUGAUCUUGGAAGCUAAGCAGGGUGGGGCCUGAUUAGCACUUGGGGCAGCUAGGUGGCGCAGUGGAUA
Molecule: ribosomal RNA, 106 nt
Filed under: Phascolarctos cinereus (koala)
Lineage: Eukaryota; Metazoa; Chordata; Mammalia; Diprotodontia; Phascolarctidae
Source: RNAcentral